This is a long non-coding RNA of Eubalaena glacialis (North Atlantic right whale), 146 nucleotides long. RefSeq lists it as uncharacterized. Lineage: Eukaryota; Metazoa; Chordata; Mammalia; Artiodactyla; Balaenidae. The transcript is spliced from 3 exons. The record is from RefSeq and is a predicted model, not a curated record.
CAGUGCCAACACGCCAGGCUCCACGCUCCAUGAGGACAGAAGCUCCUUUGUUUGGGACCUCACUCGUUAAGAAAACUGAGACACAAGCCUCAUCCUUGUCCCUACCUGAGCAGAUGUUGCUUCUACCGUUAUUCAGAACAUCAAGG